Molecule: RNA transcript, 2012 nt
Organism: Panicum virgatum (switchgrass)
Lineage: Eukaryota; Viridiplantae; Streptophyta; Magnoliopsida; Poales; Poaceae
Gene name: calcium-dependent protein kinase 18-like
Exons: 12
Source: RefSeq, a predicted model, not a curated record
CGCCAUUUUCUUACUCGCGAAACCAGGAGGAGAGAGAGAGCGGAGAGCGACGACAUCGCCGCCAGGGGGAGGUGAGAGAGAUCCCCCAGCGAGCAGAGAGCCAGAGACUGCUACUACAAAGUCUCCUCCGGCUUUGACUCCCCCGACUCCAUUUGAUGGUCGCGGGGGGACCGGGAGCGGGAGCGGGGAGCCGGCGGCGACGACGACGAUGGGCCUCUGCAGCUCCUCCACCGCGGCGGCCGCGGACGCGCCCCGGCGGCCCGGCGGCGCGGCGGCGGGGAGGAGGGAGAGGGAGAAGGGGCGCGGGAUCGUGGCGUGCGGCAAGCGGACCGACUUCGGGUACGACAAGGACUUCGAGGCGCGGUUCUCGCUCGGCAGGCUGCUGGGCCACGGCCAGUUUGGGUACACCUUCGCCGCCGUCGACCGCGCGUCCGGCGACCGCGUCGCCGUCAAGCGCAUCGACAAGAACAAGAUGGUCCUUCCUGUUGCUGUUGAAGACGUAAAGCGAGAAGUUAAAAUAUUGAAGGCCUUACAAGGGCACGAAAAUGUUGUACAUUUUUACAAUGCAUUUGAAGAUGACAACUUUGUGUAUAUAGUCAUGGAAUUAUGUGAGGGUGGUGAAUUACUUGAUCGUAUAUUAGCCAAGAAAGAUAGCCGUUAUAGCGAGAAAGAUGCUGCAGUAAUUGUCCGACAGAUGCUCAAGGUUGCAGCUGAGUGCCACCUGCACGGUUUGGUUCAUCGGGACAUGAAACCUGAGAACUUCCUAUUCAAAUCAACAAAGGAGGACUCACCCCUCAAGGCUACAGAUUUUGGCCUUUCAGAUUUCAUAAGACCAGGAAAGCAAUUCCGUGACAUUGUCGGAAGUGCCUACUAUGUGGCACCAGAAGUACUCAAGCGAAAGUCAGGGCCGGAAUCUGACGUUUGGAGUAUAGGCGUUAUUACCUAUAUUUUGCUGUGUGGAAGACGGCCUUUCUGGGACAAAACUGAAGAUGGAAUAUUUAAAGAGGUAUUAAAAAACAAGCCAGAUUUUCGCCGCAAGCCUUGGCCAAAUAUUACUCCAGCUGCAAAGGAUUUUGUACAAAAGUUACUAGUUAAGGAUCCCCGUGCAAGACUAACUGCUGCACAGGCAUUAUCACAUGAUUGGGUAAGAGAAGGAGGAAAAGCAUCUGAAAUACCCUUGGAUAUAUCAGUAUUACAUAAUAUGCGACAGUUUGUGAAAUAUAGCCGUUUCAAGCAAUUUGCUUUAAGGGCAUUAGCAUCUACACUAAACUCAGAAGAGUUGUCUGAUCUUCGUGAUCAGUUCAAUGCCAUUGACGUUGACAAAAAUGGAACAAUUAGCCUGGAGGAAUUGAAGCAGGCUCUUGCAAAGGAUGUUCCGUGGAGAUUAAAGGGUCCUCGUGUUUUAGAGAUUAUUGAGGCGGAAUUGACAGCCAAUAUUGCAUUCUUGGGCAGAUUGAUAGUAAUACAGAUGGGCUAGUUGAUUUUGAAGAGUUCGUGGCGGCAACACUACACGUGCAUCAGCUGGUGGAACAUGAUACUGAAAAGUGGAAAUCAUUGUCUCAAGCUGCAUUUGAUAAAUUUGACGUCGAUGGCGAUGGCUAUAUCACAUCUGAUGAACUUAGAAUGCAUACAGGAAUGAAGGGUUCUAUUGACCCCCUCCUAGAGGAGGCUGACAUUGACAAAGAUGGCAAAAUAAGCCUAGACGAAUUCCGCAGGCUCUUGAAAACUGCAAGCAUGAGCGCGCGCACUGUACAAACUCCGAGGGGCGUUUGCGUGUCAUAGUUUCUCAAUUUUCAUAGUUCACUUCACUGAACAAGGGAGCAGGAAAUGGUGAGAUGUUUUUGGGCGACACAUGUAAUUGAGAAUUGUUGCCGGAAAGGCUUCUUGAUGUAUGUAAGGUAUACAAUCAAUGCACAUGAAAUAGGGUUGACCUGUAGUUGUUCCUUGAUGUAUUACUCCUAUGCAGGAGUGCACUUCACAUAUGGUUCGUGGUGUUUGUUUUCGGUUUCGUU